CCAGAUGCCUACCCAGGC
RNAcentral lists this unclassified non-coding RNA (18 nucleotides) under Mus musculus (house mouse). RNAcentral describes it as "oocyte_clustered_small_RNA8313". The record is from RNAcentral. Lineage: Eukaryota; Metazoa; Chordata; Mammalia; Rodentia; Muridae.